CCUACGGGCGGCAGCAGUGAGGAAUAUUGGUCAAUGGCCGCAGGGCUGAACCAGCCAAGUCGCGUGAGGGAUGACGGUCCUAUGGAUUGUAAACCUCUUUUGUCAGGGAGCAAAGGGCGCCACGUGUGGCGCUUUGCGAGUACCUGAAGAAAAAGCAUCGGCUAACUCCGUGCCAGCAGCCGCGGUAAUACGGAGGAUGCGAGCGUUAUCCGGAUUUAUUGGGUUUAAAGGGUGCGCAGGUGGAAUGUCAAGUCAGCGGUAAAAUUUCGGGGCUCAACCCCGUCGUGCCGUUGAGACUGGCGUUCUUGAGUGAGCGAGAAGUAUGCGGAAUGCGUGGUGUAGCGGUGAAAUGCAUAGAUAUCACGCAGAACUCCGAUUGCGAAGGCAGCAUACCGGCGCUCAACUGACGCUCAUGCACGAAAGCGUGGGUAUCGAACAGGAUUAGAUACCCCGGUAGUC
RNAcentral lists this ribosomal RNA (459 nucleotides) under uncultured bacterium. Its description in RNAcentral is "partial 16S ribosomal RNA". It matches the Rfam family "Bacterial small subunit ribosomal RNA", at positions 338 to 795 of the family's 1533-position model. The record is from RNAcentral.